RNAcentral lists this long non-coding RNA (664 nucleotides) under Penaeus japonicus. RNAcentral describes it as "uncharacterized LOC122245732". The record is from RNAcentral. Lineage: Eukaryota; Metazoa; Arthropoda; Malacostraca; Decapoda; Penaeidae.
UCCUCCUCUUCUUCCUCCCCCCCCCUCCCCCCAUCCAUCCACCCUCGACAAGUCCGCCUAAAGCAACCAGUCAACAAGUGUCCCUCCGUGCCAGUCUGAUGGCCCCGCCGCCGACGUCUCGCUCGCUUGUUCCGUGACCCCGUGAGUGCCACCAGUUAUUAUCAAUUACGCUGGCGAUGAUGAUGAUCCUGGGAGGAGCGGAGAGGAGUGCCAUCAGUGUGCCACGCGCGCUCAGAGACACGAGUGCCUCUUCCUUGUGAUCACUGACGCCACCCUCGCCUCCUCUUCCCGUCGGAUUACUUAGGACUGUGAGUUCGCGCUUCGCUGGCAUUGGCACUGCUUCCUCGGCUGUGGCACUGACGCUGGCUCCUCCGGAAGACGAGAGUGAGGACCGUCUACCGUGACCACAGGUGCAGCCCGGACGGCGAGGCGCGUGAACCCCAGUUGGUGUAACCCUUUCGCACAGCACCCCUUCAGGUAAGUCUUCGGGAAACGUGAUUGAUCAGUUAAUCUCUACGUCAAUUUUAUUCAGUUGAUUUUUUGGGAUUAUUUCUUUAUUCAAUUCGAAUUUCUUUCAAUUUUUUUGGGUGUGCUUGCUCUACGGACGAGGGUUGCGCGACCUUGUGAAAUGCAGAGUGAGAGUCGCGUGUAUUUGCAAUGAUUU